RNAcentral lists this ribosomal RNA (407 nucleotides) under uncultured bacterium. RNAcentral's name for it is "bacterial SSU rRNA". It matches the Rfam family "Bacterial small subunit ribosomal RNA", at positions 917 to 1322 of the family's 1533-position model. The record is from RNAcentral.
GGACCCGCACAAGUAGUGGAGCAUGUGGUUUAAUUCGAAGAUACGCGCAGAACCUUACCAACACUUGACAUGUUCGUCGCGACUUUAAGAGAUUAAAGUUUUCGGUUCGGCCGGACGAAACACAGGUGCUGCAUGGCUGUCGUCAGCUCGUGUCGUGAGAUGUUGGGUUAAGUCCCGCAACGAGCGCAACCCUCACUUUUAGUUGCCAUCAUUAAGUUGGGCACUCUGAAAGAACUGCCAGUGAUAAGCUGGAGGAAGGUGGGGAUGACGUCAAGUCCUCAUGGCCCUUACGUGUUGGGCUACACACGUGCUACAAUGGUAUCUACAACAGGAAGCAAGACUGCGAAGUUAAGCAAAUCCUUAAAAUGUACCUCAGUUCGGAUUGUACUCUGUAACUCGAGUGCAUG